CAUAUUCUGGUUGAGAAAUCAUAACUAAACACAAUAUCUACUUACACGCAACAUAUCAUAUGCACAAUACUUAUUAAAACAUUUUAAAAUCAUUUUCUAUGGAGGAUUGUAUAACCAAUGUGAUGAUUCCUUUAUGGAGAAAUGUGCAGACGUAUGCGUUCCAACGCGUACACAAAGAAGUAUUAGCAGACUAACCAUCUGGCACAAUACAAGUACAUCUGUAUUCUACAUUUAGCACCUCGAGAAUGUUAUGCUAUAUUGACUAUUUCGAGGUACUUGACUGAUUGUCAGUGUCAAGUGUUGUAGUUGUGCUGUUAGUUUGAUUAGGCUAUCUAGGUGACUUCAGGAACGUUCUUUUAUUGACACAUCAGGAAAUCGCAACAAUUGCAGGAGCUAAAGAGAGAUAGGAAUAUGCCUGUGAUAAAAAUUUGCAGUUGCAAUUGAUUGAAACAUAAAGUUAUCUGAUCUAAAAUACCACCUUAAAUUUUAAAAGCUUGCUUUGAUGUGAACUUAGUGCAAUAAAAAUACUCAUAAAAUGCUACAAUGCAUCCCUUGGGAGCAUCUGGCAGUGUGCUUAUUUGGCUAUAUGAUUUUCUUUUAGAAAGUAUUGAAUGAAGACUAAAGUCUGAUAUUCUUUUCACAGAAACUAGAGAUUCAUAUCUUCUCCACAAAUAAUUAACCAGAGUUCACUACUUCCAAUUAAAAGCAAGAAUAAUGAAGCUGAACCCUUAUUAGUUGUAGACUUGGAAACCAAACUAAAUCAUUUAAUUGCAGGCUACUUUGCACAACUAAAUCAAAAGCAAUUUUUUGGAUGAUAAAUUAAAAUAUCCCUUGGGAUAAAUACCGCUAUGUCUAUGUCCAAGUUGCGCAAAGUCCUUCACCUUCGAUACUGCACUUUACUUCAACAACAUACAUAAUCACAUAUACACAUAACCCUGUAUACGGUACAUGAGUUCAGUAUUUGUGUAUCCAAUACAUAUAAUGUCUACCACCAAAAUUAUGUGACAGGUUGAUAAAAGACAUGGAAUUUUGGCCCUCCUAACUACACACGUCAAUAGUGCAGCGUCAUUCUAUGGUACGAGGAGCGGACAAAAAAAAGUAAAAAAAUCCUAACAGUAGUGCGUUCAUUUACGAAAUACGUAAAGGUAUGUUCGGAAGUUCUCUUCAAUUUUUUCAAGGUUUACCCAUGUUUACAAUAGUGUCUUCAUUUACUUGUAUCUCUAAAGAAGAAAAAUCUUGUCUGCUCAAUAUACUAAGGCUAGCUUUGACAUUUAGAUUUUUUUCAAUUUCUUCAAAUACUUUGGAAUUUUAGCUAUAACAGCCCCAAACUAAUCAAUUACUUCUAAACACAAAAUAAAAAUUCAAUCAAUUGAUUGCUUUUAGUACUAGAUGAUUAGUAGAGAGUAACAAGGAAUUUCAGCUGUACGAUAUUGGUACUUACGCUUGACAAAAUUGGUUCUUCAGCUUACGUUCUUCAGCUCAGCAACAGUUCGUCCGCAAGAGCUAAGCUCAGCUCAGCUCCUCCGAUUUUCAGCUCAGCUCUUCAGUCUUCUGCUUCCUCUCUUCGAUCUUCAGUAUCUACUCGUCUAUUUGAAGUUGUAGAGAAGAGAAAUUGUGUGGAUUUUUCAUAUAAGAAGGACCUGAAGCUACCGUUCUGGAGAAGAUAAAUAGCCCCAAUUUGCUCUCUGAUUCUUAGAUAGGAAAGUUUUUAAUAAUGUUUUAUCAAUUAUUUUAUUGGCCAAUAAAAAUAUGGGAGAGCGAUUAGAAAAUGUUGGAGAGAAUCUAAUAUUUUACUGAAAUUUUUUAGUCCACACUUCUAAACUGUUGUUUUUACAAUUAUAAAAAUAGGACCCUUUAAAAGUGUGGUCAUAUAUAUAAAUAAUUAUUGCCAUUAAUUUCAUACUAUGACAGCGCUUAUAAAAGUGUAGCCUAUACCAUUAAAGGGUACACUUUACAAGUAUUGCCAAUAUUAUUGUUGACAAAAGUUAAAUUUUAGACUACAUUUUAAAAGUGUUUCCAAAAAUAUUUUAGGCAACAUUUUUCAAGCGUUGCUCAGAUUUAGUGUGCCCAUAGGCCUAAAAAGGUGUAGUGUUCUAGUAACUUGUUUCAAUACUUGAGCAAUUGAGUGUAUGAGAACGAAGAGAAUGUAUUCAUAAGUCUACCUUGUCAUCUUGAGAUCCUCCAUGUCAUUACACAAAACUCUUGAAUUCAUAAUUCACAUUCAAAAGAGAGAGUUAAGAGUAGAGUUCGAGAAAGAUUUUGAGUUCAAUAGUAAAUUCUUUGAGGUAAACCAUUUAUUUGAACUAAGUUUUGAGGAAGUAAGUAUGAGAAUGAUAAGCGUCGUAUACAUGAGUUUCUUAAUGAUAUUUUGACCCUUAAGUCUAGUCGUUCAUGCCCAUAACAUCCUCAUGAACUCCAAUUAGUUGAGUACCUUUGAGAUAAAUAGCAUAUUCAAGUCCUAAGUUUUGAGUAAUAAGUUCUAAGCCAUUUGAUUUUAUAUUUAUAAUCAUUGGACUAUUACAUGUUAUCCAUGAAGUCUUUGAGUUGAAUUGUUCAUGCCAUAAUUAUGCAUAAACCAUAGAAGUCGAAAAGUCUUGAGAUAAGUAGUGUCUUUCAGUCCUUGAGUUGAGUAGUUCAUGCUCAUAAUUUCGUAUGAACCUCCAAGUUGAAUAUCAUGAAAUCAUCCAUAAACAUGAGAUCAUGAAACUUGAAUCCAUAAUCCAAGUCAAGGAAAGUUAAGAUCAAAGUUAAAGAAAUUAGGAGUUAAGUCUAGAAGUUACGAAGUAAGUCAAAGCAAAGUUCUUAAGUUUCAAAAGUCGUAUUAAGCAUUUUAACUUCGUUUUAAGGAUCAAGUUUCGAGUUAAAGUGAAGAGUAAAAGUUGAAGUCAUUCAUUCAAGAAAUAUACGGGAACUAAGUAUUCUCUAAGAGUUGAUUUAAGAUCAAAAGUUUCAAGUUAAGUACAGAGUAAAGAACUGAGUUCAUUUCUCAAAAGUCAUAAGGGAACUAAGUAUUCCCUAAGAGUUACAAAUGUUUUCACAUUUUGAGCAAGAAAGGAAGAUAGACUUCCAACAGAGCCUUUGGCUAGUUUUUAGUAAAGAGGAAUCUAUGAUUUCCAAGAGAGCUUUUAAAGCUAAGUUUGAGAAAUUACCUCAAACUAGAGAACAAGUUUUUAAAACAUAUGAGCUAAGUAUUUUGGGGUAGUAUUAAGCACUAAUAUGGGGACGCGAGUUCAUAUUAACUCAAUCCCCCAUAAACCAUGAGGCCAACAUAGACGGAAGAAGGGUCAUACUUUUUAGAUGAUUCCUUAGUGCUUUUUUAGCAUAGACUAGUAGAUCCACUUAGUAGUUCAAGUUCUAUGCUGACGGCAAGGUAUAAGAUGGUCCUCUUGCAACGUGAGGUAUGACCUUGUACCAUCACGUAGGCUCAUCGUAAUUGUUGUCGGUUAGAGAAUCUCCUUUAGAAACUAUAUUACUUUAUUAUAUAAGUAAAGUUGAGUUUGUUAUUGCAUUUUCUUUAACGAACUAAGUUGUUUUUACUAUUUUAUAAAGCUUUUUAUACAUAGCAUGUGUACCGUUGCUUUAUAUUGAGUUGAAUAUCCAUAGUCG
Molecule: unclassified non-coding RNA, 3606 nt
Filed under: Hevea brasiliensis (rubber tree)
Lineage: Eukaryota; Viridiplantae; Streptophyta; Magnoliopsida; Malpighiales; Euphorbiaceae
Source: RNAcentral